CAAAGAUGAACACACUUCUUACCAUCCUUCUCUGUACCUUUGCCGAUAGGGAGAGGUGUCAGCUUCCCGACCCUUCUGGGUUUGAGUUGCCUGCAGUCAUGUACAGCUGUGCCAUCUUCAAAAAUACAUCAAGUUCAAGAUCAGGAUCAACUGCAAGGUCAUCACGAGAAACAUCGGGGCCAAUUUCAACUCAGUCAUGGAGUGUAAGAUCAUUGUCAAGAUCUCAUUCCCAGUCGACAGCUCACCAAAGUCGUCCUUGUACUUCACAUCAACACGGAAACAUUCCUACAUCCCGAGAGUCUUCCAAUCCAUAUGAAAUAAUAUAUAGUUGACAUGAUCAUUCUCCACAUCGUCCUCCUUAUCAACGCAGGCCUGAUACAGCCCAUCAUCGUGAUUAUCUCCCGGAUUGAUAUGAGACUUCUUUGGACCCGAGAAGAUCCGUGUUAGAAUUUGUCUUUAGCAACCAUUACUUAUCGUAAGAGACGACUAACGGAAUUGAGUGUCAGGCACACUGACUUGGUUUGGUGCAUGUCAUCAUAUCCGAGUUGCGUAGUUCAAUGAUCAUGAAGUCAAUCACUGUCUGAUCCAGACUCGAUUAUUCACAGACCACCGUCAUACAGCUGGAAUAUUGCUGAGUGCGGCGUCAAAAAACAAACAAACCAUAAGUCUUUCCAACACCAUUCAAGGAGAGCAUUGUCAGAGGAAGCAUCUUACAGGGAAGCCAAGGUUGGCACUGAGGUCACACAACCGAACCCCAAACUCAAGCUGAUCUGGCUCUUCUCUUAUGUUGUCUAGUAUAAGCGGAGACAGUUCAGACACAGCAGGUCAUGCAUGUCAAGUCCACCAACAUUUCAGAAUGGUUGCGACGGGCUAUCUACUUUUAGAAAGAAAUGAUGGACUUGAUGAAGAAUAAUCCUUGAAGAUCAUGCGAAACCCUACAGUUUACCUACAAAACCUCAUGACCUGGAAGAAAUUGAGAGGAAUCUCGCUCACCCUGCUCAACAAUACCUUCUGGGAUGUAAGAUGUUGGCAUGACGUAUAAGUUAUGCUAGUCGACUACAAAACAAAUAUUUGAUGCAAAACGAACAUAUUUCUUAAAAGGUGUUUUCUUUACUUAUUAGCAGCAGAAUUUCUGCACUUGUACACAGCGGACGUACACUACUGCCUAAAAGUUCAUUCCCCUAACACGCGUUGAGAACGCGUGUGACACGCAUAUGACACUGGUGUGCAACGGGUUGGCAGCGCGUGUGCAACCCGUUGAGCACGCGUGAGUCACUCGUUGCACACGCGUGUGCCAUGCGUGUAACACGGGCCCUGGUUUCAGUUGAAGUUGGAAAAUAUAUUAA
Haliotis rufescens (red abalone) is the source of this 1346-nucleotide long non-coding RNA. RefSeq lists it as uncharacterized. The transcript is spliced from 3 exons. The record is from RefSeq and is a predicted model, not a curated record. Lineage: Eukaryota; Metazoa; Mollusca; Gastropoda; Lepetellida; Haliotidae.